CUUCCUAUGAAAUCGAGUGGCAAACGGGUGAGUAACGCGUAAACAACCUGCCCUUCGGAUGGGGAUAACAGCCGGAAACGGCUGCUAAUACCGAAUACGAUCUUUUCGUCGCAUGACGGAAAGAAGAAAGGAUGGCCUCUAUACAAAGCUAUCGCCGAAGGAGGGGUUUGCGUCUGAUUAGCUGGUUGGAGGGGUAACGGCCCAACAAGGCGAUGAUCAGUAGCCGGUCUGAGAGGAUGAACGGCCACAUUGGGACUGAGACACGGCCCAGACUCCUACGGGAGGCAGCAGUGGGGAAUCUUCCGCAAUGGACGAAAGUCUGACGGAGCAACGCCGCGUGAGUGAAGAAGGUCUUCGGAUUGUAAAGCUCUGUUAUACGGGACGAAAAAGACGGAUGCCAACAGUAUCCGUCCGUGACGGUACCGUAAGAGAAAGCCACGGCUAACUACGUGCCAGCAGCCGCGGUAAUACGUAGGUGGCAAGCGUUGUCCGGAAUUAUUGGGCGUAAAGGGCGCGCAGGCGGUUCGGUAAGUCUGUCUUAAAAGUGCGGGGCUUAACCCCGUGAGGGGACGGAAACUGUCGAACUUGAGUGUCGGAGAGGAAAGCGGAAUUCCUAGUGUAGCGGUGAAAUGCGUAGAUAUUAGGAGGAACACCGGUGGCGAAAGCGGCUUUCUGGA
This 677-nucleotide ribosomal RNA is filed under the name uncultured bacterium. RNAcentral's name for it is "bacterial SSU rRNA". It matches the Rfam family "Bacterial small subunit ribosomal RNA", at positions 75 to 733 of the family's 1533-position model. The record is from RNAcentral.